GGGCCUGUAGUUGAACGGUACAACGCGUCAUUCGCAUUGACGAGUUCGGGGUUCAAUUCCCCGCAGGUCCACAA
Molecule: transfer RNA, 74 nt
Filed under: Candidatus Beckwithbacteria bacterium CG23_combo_of_CG06-09_8_20_14_all_34_8
Lineage: Bacteria; Candidatus Beckwithiibacteriota
Description: tRNA-Ala
Rfam family: tRNA
About the family: Transfer RNA (tRNA) molecules are approximately 80 nucleotides in length. Their secondary structure includes four short double-helical elements and three loops (D, anti-codon, and T loops).
Source: RNAcentral